AGAAAACAACUCUUCAGAUGGGCAAGUCAAUCAGAUUGUUUAAAUGUCCUCACAACAUGGCAGCUAACUUCCCUCAGAGCAGGUGAUCCGAGAGAUUACAGGCCAGUUAUUUCAUAGCAUAU
Long non-coding RNA from Talpa occidentalis (Iberian mole), 122 nucleotides. RefSeq lists it as uncharacterized. The transcript is spliced from 3 exons. The record is from RefSeq and is a predicted model, not a curated record. Lineage: Eukaryota; Metazoa; Chordata; Mammalia; Eulipotyphla; Talpidae.